CGAGCACGCGCGUGUGGCAUAUCAAUAAGCGGAGGAAAAGAAACUAACAAGGAUUCCCUUAGUAACGGCGAGUGAAGCGGGAAGAGCUCAAAUUUGAAAUCUUCAAGGUUUUACCUUGACGAAUUGUAGUUUAAAGAAGUGUUUUCUGUUGGAGUUUUGGUAAAAGUUCUUUGGAAUAGGACAUCAUAGAGGGUGAGAAUCCCGUAUUUGACGUCAUUCCUUCUAGCUUUGUGAUACACUUUCAAAGAGUCGGAUUGUUUGGGAAUGCAGUCCAAAAUGGGUGGUAAAUUUCAUCUAAAGCUAAAUACUGGCGAGAGACCGAUAGCGAACAAGUACCGUGAGGGAAAGAUGAAAAGAACUUUGAAAAGAGAGUUAAACAGUACGUGAAAUUGUCAAAAGGGAAGCGUUUGACACCAGUGUUGUUUUUCCGAAAAUCAAUUGAGAAUGUUUUAUUUUUGAGGAGUUAUGACUUCAUCGGCUUGCUUCUCUCUUUAUGAAACUUUCUUAAUGCACUUUUCGGUUAACAAGUCAACAUCAAUUUCUUUUGUUGUAAAAGAGUAUGAGGAAGGUGGCUUUCUUUUCGGGAGAAAGUGUUUAUAGCCUUGUGACUUCUGCAAUCGGAGAGAUUGAGGUCUGCAGCGUAGAUCCUUCGGGGUUAGAUACAGUUUGUGCUAAGUUAUAGCUUUGUCAUAGACAACAUUGUUGAUUAUGCUUAGUCUUGUAGCUUACUCGCAGAUACGCUAUUUUACCUACGCUUAGGAUGUUGAACUCUAUCACACACAG
RNAcentral lists this ribosomal RNA (783 nucleotides) under uncultured Neocallimastigales. RNAcentral describes it as "partial large subunit ribosomal RNA". It matches the Rfam family "Eukaryotic large subunit ribosomal RNA", at positions 19 to 621 of the family's 3401-position model. Lineage: Eukaryota; Fungi; Neocallimastigomycota; Neocallimastigomycetes; Neocallimastigales. The record is from RNAcentral.